CCUACGGGGUGCAGCAGUGAGGAAUAUUGGUCAAUGGUCGGGAGACUGAACCAGCCAAGCCGCGUGAGGGAGGAUGGUACAGAGUAUCGUAAACCUCUUUUGUCAGGGAACAAAGGCUGGGACGUGUCCCCGGAUGAGUGUACCUGACGAAAAAGCAUCGGCUAACUCCGUGCCAGCCGCCGCGGUAAUACGGAGGAUGCGAGCGUUAUCCGGAUUUAUUGGGUUUAAAGGGUGCGCAGGCGGUCUGUUAAGUAAGCGGUAAAAGCCCGGGGCUCAACCCCGGCCCGCCGUUGAAACUGGCAGUCUCGAGUUGGAGAGAAGUAUGCGGAAUGCGCGGUGUAGCGGUGAAAUGCAUAGAUAUCGCGCAGAACUCCGAUUGCGAAGGCAGCAUGCCGGCUCCACACUGACGCUGAGGCACGAAAGCGUGGGUAUCGAACAGGAUUAGAUACCCUUGUAGUC
This 459-nucleotide ribosomal RNA is filed under the name uncultured bacterium. Its description in RNAcentral is "partial 16S ribosomal RNA". It matches the Rfam family "Bacterial small subunit ribosomal RNA", at positions 338 to 795 of the family's 1533-position model. The record is from RNAcentral.